GGGUGCACGCGCACGCGCAGGUGGAAGGCUUCUUUACCGGCGUGCUUGACCAUGUACUUGUUGGCAGCCACACGAGCAGCCUCCAGGCCCUCACUGGUCACGUGCUCCUUCUCCCAACUGCAAUUAAUCCAGGGGGCAGGCAGUAAAACCAUGAGGGCACGAUACACGAGACAAACUGCAUGCAUCCAAAAGGAAAAGGCUCAGGGGAUGCCUGUACCUUGAGGUGAGCAAGCCUGCUUCCAAGAACUCGGCUUAGCCCAUGAGUCCAUGCAGACUGCACAGUGCUGGACCAUGCACAGACUGCACGGUGCAGUCCAGCACUGGCGAACCUCACAAACCCAAAGCGUUCGUGAUGCUCUUCCUUAUUGUUUCCUUCAUCCAUCCCCAUGCGCAAAAGAGCUAGCGUCAUACCUGCUCUCUAUGGAGCUCCUUGUCCUGUCCAAGCCCCUCCUCUCCAUGAGACCUUCAAGUCCUGACCCUUAAUCCAAUGCUCCCCCUCCAACUCAUGAAGCAAUUUGGAUGGCAUGUUGAAACUUUGCUUAUUGCACAUGCAUGAGAGCACCACUCCCGCAGUCCCAUGCAAGCACCAAACUCUGCUGUCCCUUCCUCCCUGCACAACCGACCUGGCAAGGUGCACGCAGGCGGGGAAAAGGUCCACAUCGGCCCUCUUCUGACCAGCGUCGUAGAUACGGAUCUUGGGGUCAGGCACACCACGGCAGUAGCGCGACUUGGGGUAGGGCUUGCCCUUCUGCUGGCGGUAGCAGCGUGCUGGGCGGCGUCCCAUGUUGCCGCC
Molecule: long non-coding RNA, 793 nt
Filed under: Dunaliella salina
Lineage: Eukaryota; Viridiplantae; Chlorophyta; Chlorophyceae; Chlamydomonadales; Dunaliellaceae
Description: long non-coding RNA (DSAL_LNC000206)
Source: RNAcentral